RNAcentral lists this ribosomal RNA (251 nucleotides) under uncultured prokaryote. Its description in RNAcentral is "partial 16S rRNA". It matches the Rfam family "Bacterial small subunit ribosomal RNA", at positions 525 to 775 of the family's 1533-position model. The record is from RNAcentral.
ACGGAGGGUGCAAGCGUUAAUCGGAAUUACUGGGCGUAAAGCGCACGCAGGCGGUUUGUUAAGUCAGAUGUGAAAUCCCCGGGCUCAACCUGGGAACUGCAUCUGAUACUGGCAAGCUUGAGUCUCGUAGAGGGGGGUAGAAUUCCAGGUGUAGCGGUGAAAUCCUAUAAUCCUGGGAGGACCACCUGUGGCGAAGGCGCCUAACUGGAACGAACCUGACGGUGAGUAACGAAAGCCAGGGGCGCGAACCG